This 490-nucleotide ribosomal RNA is filed under the name uncultured bacterium. RNAcentral describes it as "partial 16S ribosomal RNA". It matches the Rfam family "Bacterial small subunit ribosomal RNA", at positions 30 to 507 of the family's 1533-position model. The record is from RNAcentral.
AUUGAACGCUGGCGGCAGGCCUAACACAUGCAAGUCGAACGGUAACAGGAAGCAGCUUGCUGCUUCGCUGACGAGUGGCGGCCGGGUGAGUAAUGUCUGGGAAACUGCCUGAUGGAGGGGGAUAACUACUGGAAACGGUAGCUAAUACCGCAUAACGUCGCAAGACCAAAGAGGGGGACCUUAGGGCCUCUUGCCAUCGGAUGUGCCCAGAUGGGAUUAGCUAGUAGGUGGGGUAACGGCUCACCUAGGCGACGAUCCCCAGCUGGUCUGAGAGGAUGACCAGCCACACUGGAACUGAGACACGGUCCAGACUCCUACGGGAGGCAGCAGUGGGGAAUAUUGCACAAUGGGCGCAAGCCUGAUGCAGCCAUGCCGCGUGUAUGAAGAAGGCCUUCGGGUUGUAAAGUACUUUCAGCGGGGAGGAAGGGAGUAAAGUUAAUACCUUUGCUCAUUGACGUUACCCGCAGAAGAAGCACCGGCUAACUCCGUG